GACCCCAUACAAGAUACAAGAGCGCCCCCCACUGUCAGCUCCGCACUGAUUAGUCACCUCACAUUCACAGUACAGUGACACAUCGCUGUUUGCUUCAUAUGAUCCCAGCGUGAAGAGGAUGAGUGGGGGUCGGGGUACUUAGUGAUGCCGGUAGACUGGAUCCAUCCACUGUGUAAGAAGGAUUUUGUAAAAAUAAUUUCAGUGAAUCAGAAAGUGAAUUUGAUGCCAGUGAGCGAUUAGGUUGUGAUCAUAGUGAUUAGAUAUUGACAUCAAGUACGUGGGAAUGUUACGGAAUUAUUUUUGUACUGAGAUAUGUCCACUGAUUAGUUGUACUCGGUCAUAUACCAGUAUUGUGUGUCUCCUAUGGAGGAACAAGCUCAGGUUGUGCAGGAGAUGAGCAGUUUGGUGAUAGAACGUGAGCCAUGUGCAAGAGUGGAGACAAGCUUCUGUGAACACAAAUGGUGACAACCGGGCAACUUCACCUUGUUAAUCCUGUAGUUGUCAGGUCCACAGUGUUUCAUCGUCAUCUCAUAGAUGGAUGCAGAGAAAUCAUCCAAGUAGCUGCAGUGUUAGGCUAAUGUCACACUGCCAGCAUGGUUCCGGCUGAGACCAGCCUUCCAGAGACCUCUGGAUCAUUACUGGGUGUUAGCAGAAGGCCCGCCGGCCCCAUUGACCAUAAUGGGGUCCAGUGGAGAUCCAGCUGCUACCUGUCAAACAUGUUGGGAGUCGGCAGACAAAUACCACUGAACGCAGCGUUAUUUGUCAGUCUGAAUCCCGGCACAUUUGCAGGGUAGUGGCUGGAUCUGUGUCGGACAUUCUGGUAACCCCGGCAGUGCUGGAUCCAGAGAGCUCCGUCAGGCUGGUCCUUGCUGGAGCUAUGCUGGCAGUGUGAAGCUAGCCUUAGAAAAUGGUUGUCAGAUAGAAGCAGCAAUUGUGACGAAUGGAAGUCAAGGGCUGUUCUAUCCCAUAUUAUUCCGGUAUAUGGAUAAAUGCAGUCAGCAGGUACCAGACACGUUGUGAAUGUCCAUGUUGUGAUGCUCUUGGGCUCUAAGCUGGAUGUAAUGGAGUCAGCACUAAGAAAGAAGACAUCGCACCUCUACAUAGUAUUCCAGUCAUGAGAUGGAAGAGGCUAAAUCAUGAAGACACGUAUCAUCCCCUCAUCUUCUGCCUCCAGGAGCUUGUUAUUCACAUAGAGAAUAAUUAUCGCUGUGUAAAUAAACUGGAUGAGAAUGUAAAGAGUCUCUGGUGUGGAGGGGGAGGGGAUACAUCUUACAGUAUUUCCUGAUUACUGAUGUGAUGAUGACUUAUCAAUAAAGUCCAUUUACACCAACA
Molecule: long non-coding RNA, 1332 nt
Organism: Bufo bufo (common toad)
Lineage: Eukaryota; Metazoa; Chordata; Amphibia; Anura; Bufonidae
Exons: 2
Source: RefSeq, a predicted model, not a curated record